CGGGAUGUAGCUUAGCUUGGUAGAGCACUUGGUUUGGGACCAAGGGGUCGCAGGUUCAAAUCCUGUCAUCCCGACCA
This 77-nucleotide transfer RNA is filed under the name Malacoplasma penetrans. RNAcentral's name for it is "Mycoplasma penetrans tRNA-Pro". It matches the Rfam family "tRNA". From Rfam's summary of the family: Transfer RNA (tRNA) molecules are approximately 80 nucleotides in length. Their secondary structure includes four short double-helical elements and three loops (D, anti-codon, and T loops). Further hydrogen bonds mediate the characteristic L-shaped molecular structure. tRNAs have two regions of fundamental functional importance: the anti-codon, which is responsible for specific mRNA codon recognition, and the 3' end, to which the tRNAs corresponding amino acid is attached (by aminoacyl-tRNA synthetases). tRNAs cope with the degeneracy of the genetic code in two manners: having more than one tRNA (with a specific anti-codon) for a particular amino acid; and 'wobble' base-pairing, i.e. permitting non-standard base-pairing at the 3rd anti-codon position. The record is from RNAcentral. Lineage: Bacteria; Bacillati; Mycoplasmatota; Mycoplasmoidales; Mycoplasmoidaceae. RNAcentral also lists the same sequence under 2 other names.